GAUGAACGCUGGCGGCGUGCCUAAUACAUGCAAGUCGAGCGAACAGAUGAGGAGCUUGCUCCUCUGACGUUAGCGGCGGACGGGUGAGUAACACGUGGAUAACCUACCUAUAAGACUGGGAUAACUUCGGGAAACCGGAGCUAAUACCGGAUAAUAUAUUGAACCGCAUGGUUCAAUAGUGAAAGACGGUUUUGCUGUCACUUAUAGAUGGAUCCGCGCCGCAUUAGCUAGUUGGUAAGGUAACAGCUUACCAAGGCAACGAUGCGUAGCCGACCUGAGAGGGUGAUCGGCCACACUGGAACUGCGACACGGUCCAGACUCCUACGGGAGGCAGCAGUAGGGAAUCUUCCGCAAUGGGCGAAAGCCUGACGGAGCAACGCCGCGUGAGUGAUGAAGGUCUUCGGAUCGUAAAACUCUGUUAUUAGGGAAGAACAAAUGUGUAAGUAACUAUGCACGUCUUGACGGUACCUAAUCAGAAAGCCACGGCUAACUACGUG
Molecule: ribosomal RNA, 497 nt
Filed under: uncultured bacterium
Lineage: Bacteria
Description: partial 16S ribosomal RNA
Rfam family: Bacterial small subunit ribosomal RNA
Source: RNAcentral